GGCAUGGUGGUUUAGUGCUUAGCAUGUAUGCCUCGCAAGUCCAGGGCUUGUGGUUUGAAUACCACCUCUGCCA
Ameiurus melas (black bullhead) is the source of this 73-nucleotide non-coding RNA. NCBI's taxonomy places the organism in Eukaryota, Metazoa, Chordata, Actinopteri, Siluriformes, Ictaluridae. The record is from the annotation of a GenBank genome assembly.